RNAcentral lists this long non-coding RNA (439 nucleotides) under Carica papaya (papaya). RNAcentral's name for it is "long non-coding RNA (CPAP_LNC003639)". The record is from RNAcentral. Lineage: Eukaryota; Viridiplantae; Streptophyta; Magnoliopsida; Brassicales; Caricaceae.
AAACACGUCUUCACACAUGCAGGCAAAGGCUUUCCUGCACGUUUAAGCUUAUUCCUUCAUGUGGGAAAGGAUUCUAAGUGUGGGUACUCCUCUUUGCACAUGUGGCUAUCCAUGCAUGUGAAUGAGGAGGUUCACGUGCAACAUGUGGUGUCCUCCACUUCCCAAGCCCAUCUUGAAUGUCUUGGCCUUAUUUUCCUUUUUGGGAUGAAAUAGGAAAUGAGCUAGAACCCUCAUUGGUUUCCUCUUAGGUGUUUGGGCCGUGAGUCUCCAAAUUAAGUAAGAAGUCCUUGUAGGUUUGGGAUUCCCCAGGGAAUUUCCCUUGGUAUUAUUUACUGGUACGCAACAGUCUUCAAGUCCACGACUAAUGUCCUUUGCCAUGUUCGGAUUCACAUCAUUAUACCUCUAUGAGUUGGUCACUUCAUCCUGAAUAUAUAAUCAA